GCCUGGGUGGCUCAGUCAGUUAAGCAUCUGGCUUCAACUCAGAUCAUGAUCCCAGAGUCCUGAGAUCAAGCCUCAGGCCAGGUU
RNAcentral lists this transfer RNA (84 nucleotides) under Ailuropoda melanoleuca (giant panda). It matches the Rfam family "tRNA". From Rfam's summary of the family: Transfer RNA (tRNA) molecules are approximately 80 nucleotides in length. Their secondary structure includes four short double-helical elements and three loops (D, anti-codon, and T loops). Lineage: Eukaryota; Metazoa; Chordata; Mammalia; Carnivora; Ursidae. The record is from Rfam by way of RNAcentral.